UUUAAUGAAUUACACUGCAAUUUUGUGCCUCCAAGCAAGGCUGUGGAAAAUACAACUGUCCAAAUUUUACAGUAAUCUCAUUAUCCAGAGAGAACCAGCACCAUGUAAGCAGACAAUUGUACCUCUUCAGCUGCAGGACACUGCGGGGAAUCUAUAGUACAUCAGCUUGGGAAUCCUCUGCUUUGGACUCUAAACGAUUCAACAUUUAUAGUUUGGCUUAUACAACAGAUUUUUACUCUGUAAGACAGAUUUUGCUGUAUUUGUGCUUUUUUCAUCUCCCCCUGAGGAGUAUUAACUCAAAGCAAUCACAAGACACCCAUCCUUGCCUGCUGCUUCUUGAACUGUUAUAUCUUCUUUGCUGCCUGCUCCUGUAUUUGAAGCUUUCCUUUAAUAGGAAAAAGCCACGAUCAAAAAAAUUUGAGACUGUCUCCUUUCCUAAUGGUAACUUUGAUGUACGAAAGCUUAAACCUGUAAAAGCACUUUUGUUCCUAUAGAAUUUACUUUUCACAGCUUAUUCUCAUCCCUGAAAUCAAGAAAGGUAGGAUGAUCUGUAUCGAAUCACGAAAGGAAGCUGUGUGCACCCUCGGAAAACGCUGAGCUGCUUGAGAAGCUGUAGCCAGUGCACGUUUAUGGACGUGGUUUUCUAAGCAAUCUCCAAAGCUUGAACGGAUUACAGUGAUAUUUUAACAAGGCUGCUGGCAUCUGUCACUAGCUUUCACCUACUGAGGAAGCUGAAAGAUGGCAGAGUGCAAUUAUUUCCACGUAAGCUAAAUUCUAGUGGCUGAUUAUCACAAGGACUUUGGUGCUUUAAACUUCUUCAUCUCCUCCAAGUCAAGCAGUCCCUCUGAUGACACUACGAAUCUGGGAGUGAAGAACUUCUUAGAGCUGAUUGGAAAUGGCAUUGCAGAGCUGAAACUUAACUGGAGGAAAUAUAUCUCCUGAAGAAGAAAAUAUAAUGCGCUUUAAGGAUCUGACUUCUGGUGAAAAAUUCAAGCCUAGAGAAAACUUGUCCUCUUUGUUAGGAAGAAUGGGUUGGACAAUUUUCUUCAGUUCGAAAGGAUAUCUGAAUGCCAUGCUGAGCUUAAUCUCUGCAGCAUGCUCUGUGCUUCUCAUCUCUUCCUGAUGCACUGCAUGGUUAUCCUGAAAGGGCAGAUAAAGAAACUGGCCACCAAGAUGGUAAUCACUAGUGGAAAUGAUGAAGACAAAGGCAAUCAAGAAAAGGAAAGCAAAGAAGAAACCAUCCUGGCAAUGCUUGGAAUUAUUGGGACAAUCCUGAACCUCAUUGUGAUCAUUUUUGUGUACAUUUACACGACGUUGUAAACUGGAAGGAAUGCAAAUGGGACAGAUAAAGUGGCCAUUAAGGGUGUCAACAAACACUGCUGACUAUUGACAAAUUGUUUAAUCAGAAUUGACUCUGUAUUAUAUUAACACAUCAUAAAAGCACUGCCUGCAGGCAGAAAAGGAUGAAGCACAAGUAAUUUAACAGGACUUUUUCACAUAGAAACAAGCCAAACUCUUCUGUCCUGCUCUCUUCCUUUUGUUUUGGUCCUUGGUAUGGGGGGAAAUGAUGACAGUUGUGUAAGUAGUAGCUUUGAAGAAAUCCACCAGGAAUAUAUUGUUUUAACACAAUUAAAAAACAAAAAACAACAAAAAAAUGUACACUAUAUACAAUUAGAAAUGUAUACCAUAUAUCUGCAAAGAUCUAACUCAAAGAUAGCUGCAUAGCAGAGAUUGUGUGUCCAUUAGGUCAUAUGAUUUUUUCUCUUGCUUUUUACUUUUACUUGCAUUGAAUCUGACAAGCUUUUUAUUUAGAAUGAACAUAUGGUGCAAUCAUGAAAAAAAAAAACAAUUCCAUUGAGCAAGAUCUGCCUAAAACUGAUAAAACAUAGGGAAAAAUACAUUCCAUGGUUAUUUUUCCUUUCUCAUUUGCUUAACAUCUGUGUCUGUUAAUACCAAUGUUUAUAAAAAUAUAUUUUUAAUAAAUGUGCUAUAUUUUUAGCAUGAACCAAAUAUUCGGAGACACUUGUAUUCAUGCAGCAAGAUUUUGUUUGAUGAAGUGCCCUUUUUUGACAAUGGAUGUUAUUCUUCUCAGCAAUUAUAUAGCAGUCGUGUUUGCAGCCCUCUCAUUGUAGUCUGAAGCAAACUCACAUCAUGCUCAUAUGCACGACUUGAAGUUGGACUGUCAGCUGAAAAGCAUUGCUGUUUAAUAUGGGAAAUAGGAAAACACUGAAAGGUGACCUUUGGAGACUGAUUGCAGAAAGAAGGCUCUAUUUAUAGAAAGAAAAAAGCAAAUGAAAGGGAUAUAAAGGCGUCUUAAAAACAAAAAUCACAGUAUUUAUGCCUUCCUGAUCUGAUCACACUCUCUAAGUACUUAUAUUUAGAGAAGCGAGCAAAGGUUUAUGCAGCUGCACAGAGAGAUUUGUAAGAACCUGUAGUGAGGAGCUUAAGAGAAAUCCAGAUUGUAAAUACAGAGUACACUUUAGCUGUGAGGAUAGGCAAGCAUUUACACUUCUUGGACAUGUGCUUUAACUGAGCAGGGUGCAGUGAAAUUCUUUGACUUGUGUUUUUGUCAGGAAUGUACAACGGGUGAUCACCAUUUUUCUUCAGAGUUUUAGUACAUCUGAAUAUAUGAUGCAUUAAAAUUAUGAGACCUCAACUCUGCCUCAAGGUGCCUAAAUAUGUUUCCUAUUAACUCUGAAAGAUCUUUUUAAUAAAGA
Molecule: long non-coding RNA, 2717 nt
Organism: Nothoprocta perdicaria
Lineage: Eukaryota; Metazoa; Chordata; Aves; Tinamiformes; Tinamidae
Exons: 5
Source: RefSeq, a predicted model, not a curated record